Molecule: ribosomal RNA, 253 nt
Filed under: uncultured bacterium
Lineage: Bacteria
Description: partial 16S ribosomal RNA
Rfam family: Bacterial small subunit ribosomal RNA
Source: RNAcentral
UACGAAGGGUGCAAGCGUUAAUCGGAAUUACUGGGCGUAAGGCGCGCGUAGGUGGUUCAGUAAGUUGGAAGUGAAAUCCCCGGGCUCAACCUGGGAACUGCUUUCAAAACUGCUGAGCUAGAGUACGGUAGAGGGUGGUGGAAUUUCCUGUGUAGCGGUGAAAUGCGUAGAUAUAGGAAGGAACACCAGUGGCGAAGGCGACCACCUGGACUGAUACUGACACUGAGGUGCGAAAGCGUGGGGAGCAAACAGG